UACGUAGGGGGCAAGCGUUGUCCGGAAUUAUUGGGCGUAAAGAGCGUGUAGGCGGUUCGGUAAGUCCGCUGUGAAAGUCGGGGGCUCAACCCUCGAAAGCCGGUGGAUACUGUCGGGCUAGAGUACGGAAGAGGCGAGUGGAAUUCCUGGUGUAGCGGUGAAAUGCGCAGAUAUCAGGAGGAACACCAAUUGCGAAGGCAGCUCGCUGGGACGUUACUGACGCUGAGACGCGAAAGCGCGGGGAGCAAACAGG
Molecule: ribosomal RNA, 253 nt
Filed under: uncultured bacterium
Lineage: Bacteria
Description: partial 16S ribosomal RNA
Rfam family: Bacterial small subunit ribosomal RNA
Source: RNAcentral